GAGGUUGUGGCUCAGUGGCAGAGUGCUUGCCUAGCAUGUGUGAGGCACUGGGUUCGAUUCUCAGCACCACA
RNAcentral lists this transfer RNA (71 nucleotides) under Marmota monax (woodchuck). RNAcentral's name for it is "tRNA.Ala". The record is from RNAcentral. Lineage: Eukaryota; Metazoa; Chordata; Mammalia; Rodentia; Sciuridae.